Long non-coding RNA from Homo sapiens (human), 635 nucleotides. The record is from Ensembl. Lineage: Eukaryota; Metazoa; Chordata; Mammalia; Primates; Hominidae.
AAUAGGUAGAGGUCACCAGCAUAGGUCAGAGGGGAUAUUGUAUGUAACUGGUGACAUUUGAAAGAGACAUAUUGGACAGAAAUGACAUACGUGAAAGCUAAGAUACAAUAUAUUUAAUUUUCUAAGAAUUCAGUUCAAGGUAGUCUGCCUGGUUUCUCAAGUUCUGCAUGUUUCUUCAGUAGACUAAAUAAUGAUAAGGAAGCUGAGAUGUAGAGCUGAAGUGUCUUGCCCAAGAUCAUUUGUCUAAUGCUGACCUCACAGACUCCCUGAAAGGAUCUCCAUGACCUCUAUGGUUCCUUAGACUGCACUUUGAGAACUAUUGACGUACAGGGAAAAAUGCUCUUGGUGUUCCAGUUAAGCACAGAAUAAAAUCUGGACUGUGUCAGUUUGUAAAGAUCUUAUGUCUACUUGGUCAUCAGCCAAGAAGGGAUUCCGAAGAUAGAAGAGGAGGCAUCAACACCGUGAACAUCAUGGCUGAGUUAUUUUGUGAGAGGGAUAAGCCUAAAGUAAAAACCUUGGAUUUGCCUCUGUCCUUGAACAUGCUAUCUGGAAAGAGUUUUCUUAAAAGUAUUGUUGUGAACACAUCCAUUUUCCCAGUAUAGUUGAAUGCAGGGUUUAAUAAAUGGAAUGAAUCU